GGCAGUUCUCGGGUGCCGCACCCUGGAAUCGGGCUCCCUCCUCUCUGGUUCCAGGUGUGUCACCCCAGAACCACU
Molecule: non-coding RNA, 75 nt
Organism: Myotis lucifugus (little brown bat)
Lineage: Eukaryota; Metazoa; Chordata; Mammalia; Chiroptera; Vespertilionidae
Source: Rfam